RNAcentral lists this ribosomal RNA (1344 nucleotides) under uncultured bacterium. RNAcentral describes it as "bacterial SSU rRNA". It matches the Rfam family "Bacterial small subunit ribosomal RNA", at positions 28 to 1381 of the family's 1533-position model. The record is from RNAcentral.
GACGAACGCUGGCGGCGUGCUUAACACAUGCAAGUCGAACGGAAAGGCCUGCAGCUUGCUGCGGGUACUCGGGUGGCGAACGGGUGAGUAACACGUGGGUGAUCUGCCUUGCACUUCGGGAUAAGCUUGGGAAACUGGGUCUAAUACCGGAUAGGACAGCUGUUUAGUGUCAGUUGUGGAAAGUUUUUUCGGUGCAAGAUGAGCUCGCGGCCUACCAGCUUGUUGGUGGGGUAAUGGCCUACCAAGGCGGCGACGGGUAGCCGGCCUGAGAGGGUGGACGGCCACAUUGGGACUGAGACACGGCCCAGACUCCUACGGGAGGCAGCAGUGGGGAAUAUUGCACAAUGGGCGGAAGCCUGAUGCAGCGACGCCGCGUGGGGGAUGACGGCCUUCGGGUUGUAAACUCCUUUCACCAUCGACGAAGGGUUUCUGACGGUAGAUGGAGAAGAAGCACCGGCUAACUACGUGCCAGCAGCCGCGGUAAUACGUAGGGUGCGAGCGUUGUCCGGAAUUACUGGGCGUAAAGAGCUCGUAGGUGGUUUGUCGCGUCGUCUGUGAAAUUCCGGGGCUUAACUCCGGGCGUGCAGGCGAUACGGGCAUAACUUGAGUACUGUAGGGGAGACUGGAAUUCCUGGUGUAGCGGUGAAAUGCGCAGAUAUCAGGAGGAACACCGGUGGCGAAGGCGGGUCUCUGGGCAGUAACUGACGCUGAGGAGCGAAAGCAUGGGGAGCGAACAGGAUUAGAUACCCUGGUAGUCCAUGCCGUAAACGGUGGGCGCUAGGUGUGGGUUUCCUUCCACGGGAUCCGUGCCGUAGCUAACGCAUUAAGCGCCCCGCCUGGGGAGUACGGCCGCAAGGCUAAAACUCAAAGGAAUUGACGGGGGCCCGCACAAGCGGCGGAGCAUGUGGAUUAAUUCGAUGCAACGCGAAGAACCUUACCUGGGCUUGACAUAUACAGGAUCGCGCCAGAGAUGGUGUUUCCCUUGUGGCUUGUAUACAGGUGGUGCAUGGUUGUCGUCAGCUCGUGUCGUGAGAUGUUGGGUUAAGUCCCGCAACGAGCGCAACCCUUGUCUUAUGUUGCCAGCACGUUGUGGUGGGGACUCGUAAGAAACUGCCGGGGUUAACUCGGAGGAAGGUGGGGAUGACGUCAAAUCAUCAUGCCCCUUAUGUCCAGGGCUUCACACAUGCUACAAUGGUCGGUACAGUGGGUUGCCAGUCCGUGAGGGCGAGCUAAUCCCGCAAAGCCGGUCUCAGUUCGGAUCGGGGUCUGCAACUCGACCCCGUGAAGUCGGAGUCGCUAGUAAUCGCAGAUCAGCAACGCUGCGGUGAAUACGUUCCCGGGCCU